CUCCUACGGGACGCAGCAGUGAGGAAUAUUGGUCAAUGGACGAGAGUCUGAACCAGCUAAGUAGCGUGAAGGAUGACUGCCCUAUGGGUUGUAAACUUCUUUUAUACGGGAAUAACGCGCCUUACGUGUAGGGCUUUGCAUGUACCGUAUGAAUAAGGACCGGCUAAUUCCGUGCCAGCAGCCGCGGUAAUACGGAAGGUCCGGGCGUUAUCCGGAUUUAUUGGGUUUAAAGGGAGCGUAGGCCGCAUGUCAAGCGUGCUGUGAAAUGUCCGGGCUCAACCCGGGCCUUGCAGCGCGAACUGGCG
Molecule: ribosomal RNA, 305 nt
Filed under: uncultured bacterium
Lineage: Bacteria
Description: bacterial SSU rRNA
Rfam family: Bacterial small subunit ribosomal RNA
Source: RNAcentral